ACAUGACCGUACCGCAAACCGACACAGGUGGACGGGAUGAAUAUUCUAAGGCGCUUGAGAGAACUCAGGAGAAGGAACUCGGCAAAUUGAUACCGUAACUUCGGGAGAAGGUAUGCCCUGGUAGCGUGUUAAAGCGUGAAGGGGCCGCAGUGAAUCGGUGGCUGCGACUGUUUAUUAAAAACACAGCACUCUGCAAACACGAAAGUGGACGUAUAGGGUGUGACGCCUGCCCGGUGCUGGAAGGUUAAGUGAUGGGGUGCAAGCUCUUGAUCGAAGCCCCAGUAAACGGCGGCCGUAACUAUAACGGUCCUAAGGUAGCGAAAUUCCUUGUCGGGUAAGUUCCGACCUGCACGAAUGGCGUAACGAUGGCCACACUGUCUCCUCCUGAGACUCAGCGAAGUUGACAUGGUUGUGACGAUGCAAUCUCCCCGCGGCUAGACGGAAAGACCCCAUGAACCUUUACUAUAGCUUCACAUUGGAUUGUUAACCGGCCUGUGUAGGAUAGGUGGGAGGCGCUGAAAGCGGGACGCUAGUUUCGCUGGAGCCGUCCUUGAAAUACCACCCUGGUUUGUUGAUGGUUCUAACCUUGGCCCGUGAUCCGGGUUGGGGACAGUGUGUGGUGGGUAGUUUGACUGGGGCGGUCUCCUCCUAAACGGUAACGGAGGAGUUCGAAGGUACGCUAGGUACGGUCGGAAAUCGUGCUGAUAGUGCAUUGGCAAAAGCGUGCUUGACUGUGAGACUGACACGUCGAACAGGUGCGAAAGCAGGACAAAGUGAUCCGGUGGUUCUGAAUGGAAGGGCCAUCGCUCAACGGAUAAAAGGUACUCUGGGGAUAACAGGCUGAUACCGCCCAAGAGUUCAUAUCGACGGCGGUGUUUGGCACCUCGAUGUCGACUCAUCUCAUCCUGGGGCUGUAGCCGGUCCCAAGGGUAUGGCUGUUCGCCAUUUAAAGAGGUACGUGAGUUGGGUUUAAAACGUCGUGAGACAGUUUGGUCCCUAUCUGCCGUGGGCGUUGGAUACUUGACGGAGGCUGCUCCUAGUACGAGAGGACCGGAGUGGACGUACCGCUGGUGUACGGGUUGUCAUGCCAAUGGCAUUGCCCGGUAGCUAUGUACGGAAGAGAUAACCGCUGAAGGCAUCUAAGCGGGAAACUCGUCUGAAGAUAAGGUAUCCCGGAGGCUAGACCUCCCUGAAGGGUCGUUCGAGACCAGGACGUUGAUAGGCUGGGUGUGGAAGUGCAG
Molecule: ribosomal RNA, 1241 nt
Filed under: Oligella urethralis DSM 7531
Lineage: Bacteria; Pseudomonadati; Pseudomonadota; Betaproteobacteria; Burkholderiales; Alcaligenaceae
Description: bacterial LSU rRNA
Rfam family: Bacterial large subunit ribosomal RNA
Source: RNAcentral